RNAcentral lists this transfer RNA (60 nucleotides) under Glossiphonia complanata. RNAcentral's name for it is "tRNA-Thr". Lineage: Eukaryota; Metazoa; Annelida; Clitellata; Rhynchobdellida; Glossiphoniidae. The record is from RNAcentral.
GAAUUAGAAGCUUAUAUAGCAUUGGUCUUGUAAAUCAAAGAAAGGUAUUACCCUAGUUCU